UGUUUCCUGGUUUAUUCGUCAGUUAUUACUACUCUCGAGCCGAUAAAAAAAUAAUAGGGGAUUCUGAAAAGUUUCUGUUGUGCAUACCCAUCUAAUGGGAAGCCUGAUAAAUUGACGGGGUCACCGCCUUGAACUGUACGGUUCAGGGCAGUAAGCAACAACGGUAAUCUGGGAAACAC
RNAcentral lists this non-coding RNA (179 nucleotides) under Gammaproteobacteria bacterium. RNAcentral describes it as "6S RNA". It matches the Rfam family "6S / SsrS RNA". Rfam says of the family: E. coli 6S RNA was the first non coding RNA to be sequenced, but its function was unknown until recently. It consists of 184 nucleotides that fold into an extended hairpin structure with a large single-stranded internal bulge. RNAcentral also lists the same sequence under 1 other name. The record is from RNAcentral. Lineage: Bacteria; Pseudomonadati; Pseudomonadota; Gammaproteobacteria.